CCUACGGGUGGCAGCAGUGAGGAAUAUUGGUCAAUGGGCGUAAGCCUGAACCAGCCAAGUCGCGUGAGGGAUGAAGGUUCUAUGGUUCGUAAACCUCUUUUAUAAGGGAAUAACGUGUGGGCCUUCUCCUGUUUUGUAUGUACCUUAUGAAUAAGCAUCGGCUAACUCCGUUCCAGCUGCCGCGGUAAUACGGAGGAUCCGAUCGUUAUCCGGAUUUUUUGGGUGUAACGGGUUCGUAGGCGGCCUUUUAAGUCAGCGGUGAAAGUCAGGGGCUCAACCAUAGAAUUGCCGUUGAAGCUGUGAGGCUUGAGGAUGUUUGAGGCAGGCGGAAUGCGUGGUGUAGCGGUGAAAUG
RNAcentral lists this ribosomal RNA (353 nucleotides) under uncultured bacterium. RNAcentral's name for it is "partial 16S ribosomal RNA". It matches the Rfam family "Bacterial small subunit ribosomal RNA", at positions 338 to 688 of the family's 1533-position model. The record is from RNAcentral.